CGUCCGAUUAGCUAGUUGGUGAGGUAAUGGCUCACCAAGGCGACGAUCGGUAGCUGGUCUGAGAGGAUGAUCAGCCACAUUGGGACUGAGACACGGCCCAAACUCCUACGGGAGGCAGCAGUGGGGAAUAUUGGACAAUGGGCGCAAGCCUGAUCCAGCCAUGCCGCGUGAGUGAUGACGGCCCUAGGGUUGUAAAGCUCUUUCACCCACGACGAUAAUGACGGUAGUGGGAGAAGAAGCCCCGGCUAACUUCGUGCCAGCAGCCGCGGUAAUACGAAGGGGGCUAGCGUUGUUCGGAUUUACUGGGCGUAAAGCGCGCGUAGGCGGAUCUUUAAGUCAGGGGUGAAAUGCCGGAGCUCAACUUCGGAACUGCCUUUGAUACUGGAGAUCUUGAGUUCGGGAGAGGUGAGUGGAACUGCGAGUGUAGAGGUGAAAUUCGUAGAUAUUCGCAAGAACACCAGUGGCGAAGGCGGCUCACUGGCCCGAUACUGACGCUGAGGCGCGAAAGCGUGGGGAGCAAACAGGAUUAGAUACCCUGGUAGUCCACGCCGUAAACGAUGGAUGCUAGCCGUUAGGCAGCUUGCUGCUUAGUGGCGCAGCUAACGCUUUAAGCAUCCCGCCUGGGGAGUACGGUCGCAAGA
RNAcentral lists this ribosomal RNA (641 nucleotides) under uncultured bacterium. RNAcentral's name for it is "bacterial SSU rRNA". It matches the Rfam family "Bacterial small subunit ribosomal RNA", at positions 234 to 893 of the family's 1533-position model. The record is from RNAcentral.